This 1851-nucleotide long non-coding RNA is filed under the name Homo sapiens (human). Its description in RNAcentral is "HSALNT0331673". The record is from RNAcentral. Lineage: Eukaryota; Metazoa; Chordata; Mammalia; Primates; Hominidae.
UUAUCUAGAAAACGUGCCUCUGAAUUCCAAGUGAAAAGACAUAAUUUUGAGGGUUAUUUGCCUUCAAUUUGGGUGGUCCAUCGUGAGCUGCCUUUAUACAUGCCACUGUCCUUCCUACUGAAGGUGUCCACAGCAUGAUCUCUUCACCGGGAUUGGGAUGAAAACACCAGUCAUCACCCAGCAGAUGUUGCUUCUCUACUGAGGACCCUUCAACUUGUUCACUGUUUCAAAGCUGAAGCUGCAAUUUGCGAAGUCGCAUUUUCCCGAAGGCUUUCCCACCUGGGCCUUGCUGAGGAACAUAAGAGUAUCAUCCCACCGACUGCUGGCAUUCGGCCCUGCGCCCACACAGCCCAGCGCUCUGCCUACCUGUGUCCAGCCUGAACUCAGCUUGGCACUGGCUUUCUAUCCACCUUCUGCCCAGCAGUGAAUGGAGUCAACUCUCCCAUUAAUGGAGCACCCUCUGGGGGAAGGGCACUGUGUUUUCUGCUGAGCGCUAGGACCUUCACAGUCUCCACAGAGCAACAAACCAGAACUCAGCGAGAAGAGCAAUGCCAAAGAGGAGGCCUAGCGUGCAGACACACAUGAGCCUAGAGCAGCUGUGCCCACCCCAUGCCUCUACCAUUGACUCAAUGAGGACAGCUGUCUUUGAGAGUGGUGACGGUAGGGUUCUAUAGAAGAAGCAGGUCUGUUAAGCAAUCUGCGAGAUGGCCGGCCUCAGACCAAUCAAAGUCUACCAUUUUGUCUUAUCUAUCUAGAACCAUAACUCAAAAAUGAAAUUGCCCCAGCUUUUCUCCUCCCACCAUUAAAUUCCAUUCAAUCAUAGCAGGCAAAAUGCAGUCACGCUCAAGCAGCCAGAUGUUAUCAUUACAGACUGCUCUUUAUAAACCCAUGCUGAAACCUGAGUGGUUGAUGAGACCAGCUAAGCAGUUGUACCUUUGACCCAAUUGCAUUAAACUUGCCCUAUCAAUUUAAGCUCAGUAUAAACACCAUUUCCCAGAGCCCCUCGUGAAGUCAGCAGUGAGAAGAAGCUGACUAAGCCUAAACAUUUUUUAACAGCAAUCUUGUCUUACAACACCAAGGGGAUUUGCUGGGUAUCUGGGGCUUUAUAAAACCAUAUGAACAUGCUGAAAGAAUUAAAAUCCUUUAAAAAUGAAAAAUUGAUGGUGACAGUCCUGUCUGAAGACUAACUGGUCUAAUGGCAACAUGGAAUGGGCACUUUUGUAUUUUUUUUUCUUUUUUUUUUGGUCUGAGACACUUUUGUAUUGUUUUGUAAGUAAUAUAUUUGUAUUAUUUUUCUUCUUCUCAAAUGUUUGCCUUAAGGUGGCCAUUCCAAUUUUUUUUAAAUGAAAAAAAAUGUGCCCCACUUAUCAGUAAAUUGGACAUUUUAAGAGGAAUUGAACAUAUUUACUGUCCUGGUUAAGUUUCUUUCUAAUGAAGACUGGGACCCUCUCCGUAUUCAAACAUUUCAGAUAAUAAGAUCACAGUUAUCUCCACAUCACAUGCGGCUGACAUCCCGGGAGUCUGGCCUAUGCACAAGUCCCAGGGUGAAUGAAGGGAGUGAUCGUACCUGGCUAUUGAUUUGCUAAUAUUUCAAUAAAACUUAGAUGUUCUAUAAAAAUGUAAGCAUAUAUUUGUCUUUGUAAAUAAAUAUACCUCAGUGUAAAGGUAUUUCAAAAGAGAAGGCUGAUCUUAGAGGUGUUUACUUUUUUCUUUUUUUGCUUUGUAUAAAAAGUUUAUUCAGUUACUUUGUGGCUGAGUUUCCAAAUAAGUAGGAUACUGUUACUUUCUGUUAAAAUGCUAAAAUAGGAUACUGGAGAACAAAUAAAUGUUGAAGAUUUAUAAACUCUUUUA